This 376-nucleotide ribosomal RNA is filed under the name uncultured bacterium. RNAcentral describes it as "bacterial SSU rRNA". It matches the Rfam family "Bacterial small subunit ribosomal RNA", at positions 524 to 898 of the family's 1533-position model. The record is from RNAcentral.
GACGAACCGUCCGAACGUUAUUCGGAAUUACUGGGCUUAAAGGGUGCGUAGGCGGCCCUGUAAGUUGGGUGUGAAAUCCCUCGGCUCAACCGAGGAAUUGCGCCCAAAACUACAGGGCUUGAGGGAGACAGAGGUGAGCGGAACUUGCGGUGGAGCGGUGAAAUGCGUUGAUAUCGCAAGGAACACCAGGGGCGAAAGCGGCUCACUGGGUCUCUUCUGACGCUGAGGCACGAAAGCGAGGGGAGCGAACGGGAUUAGAUACCCCGGUAGUCCUAGCCGUAAACGCUGUGCACUAGAUCGGAGAGUACUCCAUAGCUUUCCGGUCGUAGCGAAAGUGUUAAGUGCUCCGCCUGGGGAGUAUGGUCGCAGGGCUGAA